RNAcentral lists this ribosomal RNA (384 nucleotides) under Acinetobacter pittii. RNAcentral's name for it is "bacterial SSU rRNA". It matches the Rfam family "Bacterial small subunit ribosomal RNA", at positions 378 to 753 of the family's 1533-position model. Lineage: Bacteria; Pseudomonadati; Pseudomonadota; Gammaproteobacteria; Moraxellales; Moraxellaceae. The record is from RNAcentral.
CAAGCCUGAUCCAGCCAUGCCGCGUGUGUGAAGAAGGCCUUAUGGUUGUAAAGCACUUUAAGCGAGGAGGAGGCUACUUUAGUUAAUACCUAGAGAUAGUGGACGUUACUCGCAGAAUAAGCACCGGCUAACUCUGUGCCAGCAGCCGCGGUAAUACAGAGGGUGCAAGCGUUAAUCGGAUUUACUGGGCGUAAAGCGCGCGUAGGCGGCUAAUUAAGUCAAAUGUGAAAUCCCCGAGCUUAACUUGGGAAUUGCAUUCGAUACUGGUUAGCUAGAGUGUGGGAGAGGAUGGUAGAAUUCCAGGUGUAGCGGUGAAAUGCGUAGAGAUCUGGAGGAAUACCGAUGGCGAAGGCAGCCAUCUGGCCUAACACUGACGCUGAGGUG